RNAcentral lists this ribosomal RNA (465 nucleotides) under uncultured bacterium. RNAcentral's name for it is "partial 16S ribosomal RNA". It matches the Rfam family "Bacterial small subunit ribosomal RNA", at positions 338 to 795 of the family's 1533-position model. The record is from RNAcentral.
CCUACGGGAGGCAGCAGUGGGGAAUAUUGCGCAAUGGGCGAAAGCCUGACGCAGCGACGCCGCGUGAGGGAUGAAGGUCUUCGGAUCGUAAACCUCUGUCAGCAGGGAAGAACGGUCACUGUGCUAAUCAGCAGUGAAUUGACGGUACCUGCAAAGGAAGCACCGGCUAACUCCGUGCCAACAGCUGCGGUAAUACGGAGGGUGCGAGCGUGAAUCGGAAUGACUGGGCGUAAGGCGCUCGUAGGCGGUAUGUCAAAUCAAGGGGGAAAUCCCCGCGCUCAACGGGGGAACUGCCUUUGAAACUGGCAAACUGGAGUGUGUGAGAGGUUAGUGGAAUUCCAGGUGUAGGAGUGAAAUGCGUAGAUAUCGGGAGGAACAUCAGUGGCGAAGGCGACUAUCUGGCACAUAACUGACGCUGAGGAGCGAAAGCGUGGGUAGCAAACAGGAUUAGAUACCCGGGUAGUC